Molecule: ribosomal RNA, 440 nt
Filed under: uncultured bacterium
Lineage: Bacteria
Description: partial 16S ribosomal RNA
Rfam family: Bacterial small subunit ribosomal RNA
Source: RNAcentral
CCUACGGGUGGCAGCAGUGGGGAAUAUUGCACAAUGGGGGAAACCCGGAUGCAGCGACGCCGCGGGAGUGAAGAAGGAGUUCGGUACGUAAAGCUCUAGCAGCAGGGAAGAAAAUGACGGUACCUGACGAAGAAGCCCCGGCUAACUACGUGCCAGCAGCCGCGGUAAUACGUAGGGGGCAAGCGUUAACCGGCUUUACUGGGGGUAAAGGGAGCGUAGACGGCAGCGCAAGUCUGAAGUGAAAUCCCAUGGCUUAACCAUGGAACUGCUUUGGAAACUGUGCAGCUGGAGUGCAGGUGAGGUCAGCGUCAUUCCUCGUGUAGCGGUGAACUGCGUAUAUCUUAGGAGGAACCCCAGUGGCGAAGGCGGCUUCCUGUACUGUCACUGACGUUGCGGCUCGAACGCGUGGGGAGCAAACCGGAUUAGAUACCCUAGUAGUC